This is a long non-coding RNA of Motacilla alba alba, 853 nucleotides long. RefSeq lists it as uncharacterized. NCBI's taxonomy places the organism in Eukaryota, Metazoa, Chordata, Aves, Passeriformes, Motacillidae. The transcript is spliced from 3 exons. The record is from RefSeq and is a predicted model, not a curated record.
GAGGACGCGGCAGGCCGGGCGGAGGGUGCCGCGGGCGGCCCCUGAGGCGCGGGGGUACCCGAGGCGGGCGCGGGGCGUUGUCACUGCCGCGGGGGUGACAGCGCGGCCCCUCGGCGGGAUGCGGUGCCGCAGGUGUGUGCCCUCUGCCUUGCUCAGGCCUGCACCAGGCUCACCCGGGGCCUUCAGUGCGGGAAGAGCAUCCAGGAGGAGUGGCUGGGACGCUCCAGGCUGGCAGUCAGCGGAGAGCUGGACACGGAUCUGAAAGUGCUACAAGACAGAGAACAAGACAUCACCACAGGCGGCGAGUGCAAAUCUGACUGACUGAACCACGUCCCAGAACAGCCAACAUGGAUGGUCCCAAAAGGACUGUGACUACGUCAUCAUAGGCUGGAAGGUCAGAGUUGCACAUCAAUACCCCACAGCAUCUCAUUCCUUUAUUUCACAAAUGCAUUAAGAAUCCUUUUCUCUCUUUUUCAAAGCAGUUCAAGUGCUUUGAGGCUUUCAAUCAUUGAUGUUCUUCUCUGCAUCAGGAUAAGAUGAGGUACAUAUCCCCCUCCCCUCCAAAGGGGGCUUCCCUGAAGCCUGCCUGGGCAGUGAGUGUGCAGGGUCCCAGCAGGCAGGCUGGCAUUCUGUCCUGAACCUAUCCUUCAGAAACCUGGGCUUUUGCAGCUUGCAGAACAGCAUGGCAGGCGCUCAUACUGCAUCACGUGGGAAGGCAAUGUCAUUCUGAGCUCCAUUCCACUCCCCUCACCACUUGUUCCAGCUUUUGUCCAACACUCUAAAUCUGGGUUUUACGAUGCUUUAAGAGCAGCCUCCUAUGGAAGAGUCUCCAUCACCAAGGGCUCCUCGUGCU